Homo sapiens (human) is the source of this 1315-nucleotide long non-coding RNA. The record is from Ensembl. Lineage: Eukaryota; Metazoa; Chordata; Mammalia; Primates; Hominidae.
GAUUCCCAGGCCGGCUCCUAGAAACCCUUAAUAGUAGAAAACCAUAGGGGGAAACACCAGUAAUUAGACAGAACAGAAUACAAUUGCUUUUUUAAAAGUUAUUUUGAUCCCUGGUGGUCAAAUGAAAAACAUGAUCAUGGGAGGCCAUGGAAGGUGAGCCGUCGAUAUUCCGAAGGGAAGCCGGGAUCCGUCCAAGGGCGUUCGAGAUAAAAGCAGGAGCAAAGGCCACGUCGGGGACAUGAUACAUCACAACAUGCAGGCAGCAUGGCCCUGAGUCACCACGUGGAGACAAGCCUCAAGAGGACUCCACUUCCCAGUGGACGUUGCACGAGCAAGCAGGAAACCUCUUCUGUGAGCCCCUGAGGUUCAGGGUUUUUUGUUUUUUUUUAGUACCAUGGCUACUGUGACGUAUCCUGACUAAUGCCGACAGCACAGGGAGCCUUUGCCUGCCGGAGGAAGCGGUGAGGAAGAGGUGGUGCGUCGUGCACUUCCUGUUGCUGUUUUAGGACAGCUUGGGUGAGUCCAGCAUUAAAAAUCAGAAUGGGAAAAAGGAGAGGAAACCCGGAAGGGUCUACAUGGGAAAGCCAGGGUCUGCGGAAGACAGAUUGUCUCUCCCAGGAUGCCUGGUGUUUUUGGAGGGGCACGCAGCAGUUGGAGGUUUGCAUUUCAGGAUUUGCCUUACAUUAAAAUGCAAUUUAUCUGUUAAUUCUAUUUACUUAUUUAACUCACAUGGAUUAACUGCCUAUUCUGUGUACCAGACGUAGUUUGUUCCAGGGAAGUGCUGCUGAACCAGGUAAACCCAGCCCCCCAUCUCCAGGAGCAGAGGCUGCAAGGACAGGAAGACAAUGAGGCAAUGGUGUGCUGGGGGAAUCGUGCUAAAGUGAAAGCAUCCUUCGAUCAUUUUUAAGUCAUUCUAGGAUCUUCAGGGCAUCAAAGUUUUGCCUGUGAGCCUCAAUUGGUCUAAUACAAAAAUACAGACUGUGGUUAAUCAUCUGAGCUUUGAGAUCAUGUGAGAUUGUAAUCCUGCCUUGGUUCUGCCACUUACUGCUGGUGAAGGAAAAAUUAAUCUUUCCAAACAGCUUGCAAGACAGAAAUCAUGCUUUCUACCUCCCAAAGCUGCUGUGGGCAUGAAACAGCCCACGUGCAUGAGGUGCCCAGCAUAGCGCCUGGAAAUCACACACAAUCACAGAAUCAUGGGGCCAGAGGAGGCCCUUGAAGUUUUAUCUGAUUUACUCCUCCCAUGAGAUGCUUUAAUUCUCCAACUUCUCCUCAAUGGCACCUAUAAAGAAAUGGGUUCUCCCUCUGUUGUUCUCUC